RNAcentral lists this ribosomal RNA (253 nucleotides) under uncultured bacterium. RNAcentral describes it as "partial 16S ribosomal RNA". It matches the Rfam family "Bacterial small subunit ribosomal RNA", at positions 524 to 776 of the family's 1533-position model. The record is from RNAcentral.
UACGAAGGGGGCUAGCGUUGCUCGGAAUCACUGGGCGUAAAGGGUGCGUAGGCGGGUCUUUAAGUCAGGGGUGAAAUCCUGGAGCUCAACUCCAGAACUGCCUUUGAUACUGAGGAUCUUGAGUUCGGGAGAGGUGAGUGGAACUGCGAGUGUAGAGGUGAAAUUCGUAGAUAUUCGCAAGAACACCAGUGGCGAAGGCGGCUUACUGGUCCAUAACUGACGCUGAGGUGCGAAAGCGUGGGGAGCAAACAGG